CACGAAUAAGCGGUUUUAAACCGGUGCCAUAUUACCGUAGCACGCUACCGUUACCUACUUUCUACCGUUUAGCGAUAGCGCGCUGGUGUACCGCUACUGCUUAGCUAAGUUAGCGUUAGCUAACAUACUUAAGACAGCUAAUUUAAAGAAAACCCAACGUUUUGAUUUGUGCGCAUGUAGACGCGUUGUUUUGUCACCUCGUUUAUAGGUCACACGUCAACAUUAACUUUCAAAAUCACUGUUCAAUGUGUUUGUUGUUCUUCUUCAUCGUAACGGUAAGUUACUACAAAUAAAUUCAACUUGGGUCCUGUUGACUUAACGUUAAGUUUUACUGACAGUGUUGUUUUCCAAUAUUUAACGUUACUGUACCCUCAGUGUUAGUGUAACAGGUUAACGGCACCACAAACCUUCUUAUUUUCUCUUUACAACGGUAAAUGCCGGUUUGAAUCUGUGUAUAACUCUCCUACCUCCCCCCCCCCCCCCCCAGAGCCUCCUCUUUACCUGUCGUGAGACAGAGAGCAGCCUGUCCUUCAGGGGACAGAUGGAGCAGUCCAGCAGCAGGUUGUACUCUGGUCCUCUGUCCCAGGCGGCCCAGAAGGUCCUGGCUGUUCUCCGGGCCCAGAGUCUACAUGCAGCCAGACGCAACCGCCACUACGCCCAGCAUCACAGGCAAAACCCUCUUGGUCCAGUCUCCAGGCGUCCUCCUUUCCCACCUCUCACCGUGACGCCUCCAGCCAGCAGCAGGGAUCUCAGUGUUAUCAGCACACGCAGACACCCGGCCGCCCCGCGUCAUCCCAGGACGCCUCCCGUUUGUCCCCCUGCUGGGAAUCCUCGCUCCAGAGGCAGACGUUGCAUAGGGGCUCACAGAUUCAAUCCCACAAAAAGCGCUCCGAACCCCCUGCCUGCCUGUCAAGCCAGGCUCCGUCAUUCACUCAGCACGAAGAGGUGACACCAUCUUUGUCCUGUAGAAAUGCACGGACCUCCUCGCCUCUCCAAAUAAAACCGAGAGUUUAUGAGCGUCAAGUUGCACCGUGGAGAAACUCAACUGAGGAAAUCAGGCUGCCUUUCCUCUACAAUCCUCCAGACGAAGAGGAUCCUGAUGAGGUUUUGUUCCCCACAACAGUGCACCCUAAUGCCUAUGAAGAGGGGCGUGCAUUGGAUUGUUCCGGAGUUUCUUACUUCGAAGCAAGUGUAGUGACCUAUGGUGACACGUCACAUGCACAGAAUGAAAACAUUCAUUCGGAUAGCUGGAAUGUUCCCAGAAAGAAGCUAGCCACCACUGUAGCUGUGGACAGCCUCGCAAAGUGGAACCUACCACUAUGCAACCGUACUGAAGAGGCCAUUAGUGGAGGAGAAGAUGGAGGCAUAUUUUAUCAACAGGCAGAGGAGCAGAUGGUGGAUUCGGAAAAUGUGUCCGGCACAGAGCAUCAAAUGCAGGAUGGAGUAAUGUGUGAAGAGACGAGAUACCUGGCGGCACCAGUGCCCUUUGAGAAAGGAUCAGCCGAUGAAAUGGAGCGACUUCUUCUUUCGGGCACCAAUGAGAACACUAGUUUAGAGACGAGUUUGAAUUUAAUCUGGACCAAAAGCUUCUGCUCUGAGGUUGCAAUGUCUGGACAGAAGGAAGAUGUUGACUUUGAGAACAGAAUUAAUACAUGUGAACCUCUACCUUGCAUCGAGGAUAAAGAGAUGUACUGUACUGGCAGCCCCAAACAGAUCUUAGUACCUUUAGAAAGGAGAGAACACAAGGUGAGCCACUGCCGAGCUCGUUACCCUCAGGACGUGAGUCCGUCUGUAACUGAAAGAGCAGAGGAGCUCCCCACAGAAAACCCACUGAUGUGCAGCGACCCCACCAAAGUAGUCCCGGGUGACACCACUGCUGACGACCUGCAGAGAACCGCAGAGGAAAGAAUAGAUGUGAGCGAGGUCAAUCUGGAAGGGCAGAGGGAGGGCAGGGCAGGCAGCGACGCAAGCACAGGAGAUAAGGUGGAGACAGACAAGCCACAUUGUUGUGAUGUCCAAACAAGAGAAAGCUGGAGUAAAAGAGUUUAUAGAGAGCUCACUGUGUCAGCUGGAGGAGACAUCGAGCCAGAAGGGAGCGGGGCACACCGAAAUGAGUCCGGGAUGUUCCCUGUGGACGGCGAAAACGGGCGCACAGCUACAGGUAAGUGCAUGAUUAUCACUGCUUUUUACCCCCAUUAG
Molecule: long non-coding RNA, 2199 nt
Organism: Gasterosteus aculeatus (three-spined stickleback)
Lineage: Eukaryota; Metazoa; Chordata; Actinopteri; Perciformes; Gasterosteidae
Source: Ensembl